RNAcentral lists this ribosomal RNA (407 nucleotides) under uncultured microorganism. Its description in RNAcentral is "bacterial SSU rRNA". It matches the Rfam family "Archaeal small subunit ribosomal RNA", at positions 330 to 745 of the family's 1478-position model. The record is from RNAcentral.
GCGCACCAGGGCGAAACUUUACAAUGUGCGAAAGCACGAUAAGGGAACUCUGAGUGCCUCCUAAGGAGGCUGUUCAGGUGUCUAAAAGCACCUGAAGGAAGGGCUGGGUAAGACCGGUGCCAGCCGCCGCGGUAACACCGGCAGCCCAAGUGGUAGCCACGUUUAUUGGGUCUAAAGCGUCCGUAGCCGGCUGGGUAAGUUCCUUGGGAGAUUUGGCUGCUUAACAGUCAAGCUUUCAGGGAAUACUGCCCGGCUUGGGACCGGGAGAGGUCAGAGGUACUCCAGGGGUAGGGGUGAAAUCCAUUAAUCCUUGGGGGACCACCGGUAGCGAAGGCGUCUGACCAGACCGGGUCCGACGGUGAGGGACGAAGGCUAGGGGCGCGAACCGGAUUAGAUACCCCCGUAGU